Molecule: ribosomal RNA, 252 nt
Filed under: Clostridioides difficile
Lineage: Bacteria; Bacillati; Bacillota; Clostridia; Peptostreptococcales; Peptostreptococcaceae
Description: partial 16S ribosomal RNA
Rfam family: Bacterial small subunit ribosomal RNA
Source: RNAcentral
UUUUAUUUGAGAGUUUGAUCCUGGCUCAGGAUGAACGCUGGCGGCGUGCCUAACACAUGCAAGUUGAGCGAUUUACUUCGGUAAAGAGCGGCGGACGGGUGAGUAACGCGUGGGUAACCUACCCUGUACACACGGAUAACAUACCGAAAGGUAUGCUAAUACGGGAUAAUAUAUUUGAGAGGCAUCUCUUGAAUAUCAAAGGUGAGCCAGUACAGGAUGGACCCGCGUCUGAUUAGCUAGUUGGUAAGGUAA